CAGCUCCAAUAGCGUAUAUUAAAGUUGUUGCAGUUAAAAAGCUCGUAGUUGGAUCUAGGGACGCGCAUUUCAAGCGCCCGUGUCGUCGGGUCAAACCGGCGACUGCGUUGGCGUUGCGGGCUCGGUCCGUCGGUGCUCACAAAAGCAUCGGCGUGUCAACCGGCCCGCCCGUCCCCUCCUUCUGGAUUCCCGUUCCUGCUAUUGAGUUAGUGGGGACGUCACAGGGGGCUCAAAUGGCACGGCGGUGGGUCCCUGGGGCCCAGAUCGUUUACCGUGAAAAAAUUAGAGUGUUCAAAGCAGGCAGAUCCAAUUUUCUGCCACCGAAUACAUUAGCAUGGGAUAAUGGAAUAGGACCCUGUCCUCCUAUUUUCAGUUGGUUUUGGCAGCGCGAGGACUAGGGUAAUGAUUAAUAGGGAUAGUUGGGGGCAUUAAUAUUUAAUUGUCAGAGGUGAAAUUCUUGGAUUUAUGAAAGAUUAACUU
RNAcentral lists this ribosomal RNA (480 nucleotides) under Acanthamoeba sp. RNAcentral describes it as "SSU rRNA". It matches the Rfam family "Eukaryotic small subunit ribosomal RNA", at positions 586 to 942 of the family's 1831-position model. Lineage: Eukaryota; Discosea; Longamoebia; Acanthamoebidae. The record is from RNAcentral.